Molecule: RNA transcript, 3520 nt
Organism: Passer domesticus (house sparrow)
Lineage: Eukaryota; Metazoa; Chordata; Aves; Passeriformes; Passeridae
Gene name: spidroin-1-like
Exons: 3
Source: RefSeq, a predicted model, not a curated record
GGACUGAUUUUGGGGUGAAAAAAUUGCCAUUUUUUGGGUAGGUUUUAGGGUAAAAAUUCCCAAAUUUGGGGUGGAUUUUGGGGUAAAAAUUCCCAGUUUUGGGGUAAAAAUUCCUGGUUUUGGGUGGAUUUUAAGGUGGAAAUUCCCAUUUUUGGGGUAAAGUUUGGGGUAAAAAUUCCCAGGUUUUGGGUGGAUUUUUGGGGUAAAAAUUCCUGAUUUUGGGGUGGGUUUUAGGCUGAGUGUUCCCAGUUUUGGGGUAAGAUUUGGGGUAAAAAUGCCCUUUUUUGGGGUAAAUAUCCCUGAUUUUGGGGUGGAUUUUUAGGUGGAAAUUCCCAGUUUUGGGGUAAAAAUUCCUAUUUUUGGGGUAAAAAUUCCUAUUUUUGGGGUGGAUUUCAAAGGGAAAAUUCCCAUUUUUCGGGUGGGUUUUAGGGUGGAAAUUCCCAAUUUUGGGGUAAAAAUUCCUGAUUUUGGGGUGGAUAUUGGGGUAAAAAUUCCCAGGUUUGGGGUGGAUUUUAAGGUGGAAAUUCCCAGUUUUGGUGUAAAGUUUGGGCUAAAAAUUCCCAUUUUUGGGGUAAAUAUUCCCAGUUUUGGGGUGGAUUUUAAGGUGGAAAUUCCCAAUUUUGGGGUGGAUUUUGGGGUAAAAAUUUCCAUUUUUGGCUGGAUUUCAAGGUGCAGUUUUGGGUGGAAUGUCUGGUUUUGGUUGGUGGAGUUUGGGGUGAAAAUGUUCGGAUUUGGGGUGGAUUUGAGGACGGAUUUUGGGGUGAAAAUUCCCGGUUUGGGGUGGCUGUGGUGGUGAAUUUUGGGGUGAAAAUUCCCAGGUUUGGGGUCUCGUUAUAAAGUUAGAAUUCCCAAUUUUGGGGUGGAUUUUGGGGUAAAAAAAAUCUCAUUUUUGGGGUAAAAAUUCCCACAUUGGAGGUGGAUUUAGGAGUAAAAAUUCCCAAUUUUGGGGUUAAAAUUCAGAGUUUUGGGGUAAAAAUUCCCAAUUUUGGGGUGGAUUUCAGGGUAAAAAUUCCCAGGGUGGGGGUGGAUUUUGGAGUAAAAAUUCCCAGUUUUGGGGUAAAAAUUCCCUUUUUUGGGGUGGAAUUUGAGUUAAAAAAUCCCAGUUUUAGGUUGGAUUUUGGGGUUAAGUUUGGAGUUUUGGAUGGAUUUUGGGGUGAAAAUGCCCAUUUUUGGGGUGUAAUUUGGGUUAAAAAUUCCCAGUUUUGGGGUGGACUUUGGGGUGAAAAUACUGAAUUUCGGGGUGAAAAUUCCCAUUUCUGGGGUGGAUUUUGGGUUAAAAAUUCCCAUUUUUAGAAUGGAUUUUGAGGUUAAAGUUCAGAGUUUUGGGGUUAAAAUGCCCAUUUUUGGGGUGGAUUUUGGGUUAAAAAUUGCCAUAAUUAGGGUGGACUUCGGGGUUAAAGUUUGGAAUUCUGGGGUGGAAUUUGGGUUUAAAAUUCCCAGUUUAGGGCUGGAUUUUGGGUUAAAAAUGCCCGCUUUUGGGGUGGGUUUUGGAGUUAAAAUACGGAAUUUUGGGGUAAAAAUGCCCACGUUUGGGGUGGGGUUUGGAUUAAAAGUUCCCACUUUUGGGGUGGAUUGUGGGUUAAAAAUUCCCAUUUUUAGGGUGGAUUUUGGGUUAAAAUUUCCUAUUUUUAGGGUGGAUUUUGAGGUUAAAGUUCAGAGUUUUGGGGUGGAUUUUGUGGUGAAAAUGCCCACUUUUGGGGCGGACUUAGGAGUAAAAAAAUCCAAGUUUUGGUGUAAAAAUUCCCAUUUUUAGGAUGGAUUUUGGGUUAAAAAUUCCCAUUUUUUUAGGGUGGACUUUGGGGUUAAAAUUUGGAAUUUUGGGGUGGGUUUGGGGGUGAAAAUUCCAAUUUCUGGGGUGGAUUUUGGGUUAAAAAUUCCCAUUUUUAGGGUGGGUUUUGGGUUAAAAAUUACCAUUUUUAGGCUGAAUUUCAAGGUUAAAGUUGGGAGCUUUGGGAUGGAUUUUGGGGUGAAAAUUCCCAUUUCUGGGGUGGGUUUUGGGGUGAAAUCUCCGUUCCUGGGGGUUUCUGACCGGUGCCCAUUGCAGGUGGCACCGGGGGGUGACCGCGGUGGCCUCGUGCGGGGGUGAAAACGCUCAGGUUGCAGGUGGAUUUUGGGAUGGAAACGCCCGCUCUGAGGGCGGAUUUUGGGGUAAAAAUGUCCUUUUUGGGGUCAAAAUGUGCAAGCGGGGCUGGAUUUUGGGGUGAAAGCUGCUGCUUUUGGGUGGAUUUUGGGGGAGGAUUUGGGGCAGAUUUUGGAGGUGAAAAUGCCCAAUUUGAGGGGGGAAUUUAGGGCGGAAUUGUCCAUUUCGGGGGCGGAUUUUGGGCUGGAAUUGGCCAGUUUUGGGGCCGGAUUUUGGGGUGAAACUUCCCAAUUUGGGGGGUGGAUUUUGGGGUGAAGUUUUCCAGUUUUGGGGGUGGAUUUUGGGCUGGAAUUUGCCAUUUUGGGGGCGGAUUUUGGAGGUGAAAAUGCCCAGUUUGAGGGGGGAUUUUGGGCUGAAAUUUGCCAUUUUGGGGGCGCAUUUUGGGGUGAAAUUUUCCAGUUUUGGGGGCGGAUUUUGGGGUGAAAUUUUCCAGUUUUGGGGGCGAAUUUUUGGGGUGAAACCGCCCAGUUUGGGGGGUGGAUUUUGGGGUGACCUUGCCCAGUUUGGGGGUGGAAUUUGGGGUGAAAUCUCUGAGUUUUGGGGUCGCUGUUGAGCUGGAAGUUCCCAUUCUGGGGGUUGGCUUUGGGGGGGCAUUUUGGGUCAGAUUUGGGAGAUUUUGGGGCAGAUUUGGGGUAAGAUUUUGGGUCAGAUUUGGGGGAUUUUGGGUCACUUUUGGGGGAUUUUGGGUCUGGGGGCUUUGAGCUGUGCCCCAUCUCAGGAUCUUUGGGGUCACUCGGGGGGGGCGGGGGUCACUCCGGGGUCACUCAGGGGUCACUCUGUGGGGGCGGGGCCACGCGGGGGUCGCUCUCCGGUCGCUCUCGGGGUCACCCUGGGGUCGCCCCGCGGGUCCCCAUGUGGGGUCACCGCGGGCGGGGGUCGCUCCUCAGGUCACCCAGGGGUCACCCAGGGGUCACGGCGGGGUCACUCCGACCCCUCCCCCGCGCCGGCGCCGCCGCUCCAGGGACGCUCGGGAGCCGGUACGUGCGGGGGAGGGGCCCGGCGGGGCCGGGGACCCCCAGAAACGGCUCCGGACCCCCGGAUUUUGGGGUCAGGGGGGUCCAAAACCCCCCCCUCUCCCCUCCCCCACCCCUCGCUGGGGCCGCCGUGGGUCCUCCCGGCCGCUGGGGGGCGCUGUGGCGCGGCCCCGCCCCCCCCCUCACCCCUCUCUUCUCUUGCAGCUCCGCUCCCCCGAAGCUCCGCCCCUGACUUCAGGCCCCGCCCCCUUUUCCCUGCUCCCGACCCGCCCCUUUUAUCUUCAAGCUCCGCCCCUUUCUCCUGUCCAAGCUCCGCCCAUUUCUCCUGACCACGCCCCCUGCUUUGGCCCCGCCCUCUCCUGUUUGAGCCCCGCCCCUUUCUUCAGACCCCGCCCCCCUUUCUUCA